GAGCUCAAGAGCUGGUUACUCAAAAAAAGAUCCUGCCUUGGACAUGGUUGUUUAAGAAAUCAUCAGUUCAACAGCGCGUUACCAGCUGAAACAUUAAUCACUGCAGGUAUUAUUCUAUAGAGGGCUUUUAACUCAGAAAAUGGGUAAGAAUUAAUAGAUUCGAUUAUGUAUAUUAUUAUAUAUAGAGCUUCAUCAUUUUUCUUCUACUUAUCCAAAUCAGGAUCAGCCUAUCCCAGCUGUCAAAUGCCGAAAGUCACAGUCACAUGUUCUGCAACAGGUGAGGAGUUGAAUUUUACUGGAAGCAACUGAAUGCAACACAAUAUCACCAGCCCUCCAGGUAAGGUAGACGCUCUCAGGCACGUAAUCUGCAGUUUACACUGAAAAACUGACAUCGUGGAUAUACUACUACUCCUAAAGAAAACAAAAAAUCGCUGAACAGGAUCGACUGGAUGCACCUGACGGACCGCGCACAGUGAGAUGACUUCAUAGACAGCAUUUGAAUCAUGGUGAAAAUAAAUCUCAGUGCUGAGUAAAACAUCAGACCUGACGAUACUGAAAAGUGAUUCGUGAAUGAUCAGGAGGAGAUCUGUGCUGCACCCCACACAUCUUCUCUGGGAGUAUAUCAGAUGAAGCCGGUGUCAGUCUGAGAGUUUCCAGCUUAUGCCCAGAGGUGCUGGGAGCAUGACAUCACAAAGUGAUAAGGGAAUAAAGUGUGUGGUGGUGGGUGACGGUGCAGUGGGAAAGACCUGCAUGCUCAUCACAUACGUAACCAAAGAGUAUCCCUCUGAGUACAUCCCCACAGUGUUUGAUAACUACUUUGCUACAGUGACGAAUGGUGAGAAGUACAAUCUGGAACUCUGGGACACUUCAGGUCAGGAGGACUAUGACAGAUUGCGAGCCAACAGCUACCCACAGACGGACGUUUUCCUCGUCUGUUUCUCCGUGGUUUCACCCUCAUCUUUUCAAAAGGUCACAAACAAGUGGUUGCCAGAGAUUGCAUGCCACUGUCCGGGGACCCCCUUCCUGCUGGUCGGGACUAAGGUGGAUCUGAGAGAUGACAGAUACACCCUGGAGAUGCUGGGCAAGGAAAACGAGCAAGUUGUGACCUUCAAGGACGGCGAGGAAGUGGCUCGUCACCUGAAAGCUGUCAAAUAUGUGGAGUGCUCAGCUCUUACACAGAUAGGAGUGCAGGAUGUGUUUGAAGAGGCCGUCCUCGCUGCUCUGGGGAAGUCAAGUUCCAAGCCCAAGAAGUGCUGCUCUCAUCUAUAGAUGUCACAAGAAGUAGAACAAGAGGAAGAGAAUGACCUUAUCCUCCUCCUCUUGGAGAAGUUGGAGGUUUGACCUGGAAGAGAGUAUUAACCUCGAUGUGAACAAAGGAAGGAUGCUAAACACGAGUUAGACCAAAAACAAUAUAAAUAUCUCUUUAUUUAGCAAGCAGAGCUGAAAAUGCUCUAAAAAUAAAAAUACAAAAGUAUUUUGUACAAAUAUAAAUAAUUUAUGCAGAUUUAUUAUUAAUGAGUGCAGGCAAGUCUUUAUAUACAGUAGUUUAGGUUUUUCUGAACUUAUGUUUACGUUGUAAUUUUUAUGCAGUAUUAUUUAGUGUCAUUCACUCGCUCAUUUUUUUAAUGGACACAAACUUCUAUCAACUAAUAUCAUUCUCAGCCUCUACAGCUUUGCAUUGACCUGUUCAUAUGCAGCUUGUGUUUAAGGUACAACCAUGUGAGCAGGAAACCAUCUAUUCCUUAGUAGGUUUUAAAGUUAUUUAAUUACAACCGUAGAUGAACAACAACACAUGACAUAUUAUUUAUUUAACAAAGCUGUCACACGAAGCAGCAGUGUGUGGUUUGGGAUCAUUUGGGCUGUAAAGUGGAUCGGGGGGCGCUGAUGCACUUUACUUUUGCUUCCUUUGGUGCAAAUGAAAGUGACACGAGGUUCACUGGAGAGGGAACAGGAAAAUAGGAAAAGGGGAAAAAAGAGACUGGUUUUGCAGAUAGUAACCAAAAACCAUUGCUCUGUCCUUACAUCUGAUCUUUUUCUCCAGUUCAACUUUUAGUUUAUGUCCUUGUCACUGCUGGUAGCAUGAGAUGGUGCUUCCAACACAUUCAGGUUGGAGAGGUAGAUCAGCUUUUCCAGAAUGGCAUAUCGAUGCAAGCUGACCUCUAGGUGCUCUCUAUGCCCUUUGGUGUUUCUGAAACGCUUCACAAGCAGAGACUAAUGAGGUGGGUUUUGCUUGCUCAAGAAUACAAUUUGGACAUUUACGAGUAAAGGUGUGUCUUUACAAUGGUAACUAGUGAUCCACAGUGGAAGCAGGUGCAGGAAGCAAGUGGGUUGUAACAAUAAGGACGCCUGAUCAGGACGCUGGAGUGUAGCGAGUAUAACAGGAGGAACACUGACAGAGGCCUAAGGAAUGGCCUCCGGGGUGCUCAUUUGCAUGUUUCUGGCCGCACACUAUGAGAAACAGACUCCAUCUGCUGGAAUAAGGGUCUGACAUCUUUAGUGGGACCUGUGCUCACAGUCCCACGUCAUGCAUCACCAGAGUCUAUCAGGUUCAUACAGAUGGAUGUGAAAGAGUCUUGAGAUGCAGUGUAGGCAUUUUUCUGACUGCAGCAUCAUCCAGCAUGAUGGUUUGGCAGUGGUCAGUGAUGGUCUGGGAGGCAUAUCCUUGGAGGAUCAUACAGAUGACCUCCUCAGAACCAUUGUUGAUACGGGCAUUGAUACCAAUGACUGUCUCUGACAUUUUCCAGAGCUGAAUCCAACUAAGAACUUCUGGGACACAUUUUUUUACUCGCAUGCCUGCAAAGUCUCCACCAAGCCUCUCUCAUCUUCUCUGAAUUGCUGCCACCUGUCCACAUGCCCUGUCUUUUGAUUAUACCUCUUUUAAUAAAGCAUCUAAACUAUU
Molecule: RNA transcript, 2899 nt
Organism: Haplochromis burtoni (Burton's mouthbrooder)
Lineage: Eukaryota; Metazoa; Chordata; Actinopteri; Cichliformes; Cichlidae
Gene name: cdc42 homolog
Exons: 9
Source: RefSeq, a predicted model, not a curated record